RNAcentral lists this ribosomal RNA (525 nucleotides) under Dimacrocaryon amphileptoides amphileptoides. RNAcentral describes it as "eukaryotic LSU rRNA". The stretch from base 97 to 243 matches the Rfam family "5.8S ribosomal RNA". The record is from RNAcentral. Lineage: Eukaryota; Ciliophora; Litostomatea; Haptorida; Dimacrocaryonidae.
ACUUAAUAACGAAGUGAACGCUUAGCGUGGAGCAAUCCGCGCUAAACUAAACUUAUAUUGAACUCAAUAUAACUAAGCGAUGGUUGACAUAAACUAAAUUUUCAACGAUGGAUGUCUAGGCUCCCAUAACGAUGAAGAACGCAGCGAGAAUGCGAUAUGCAAUGUGAAUUGCAGAACUACGAAUCAUUUGAUCUUUGAACGCAAAUGGCGCUGAUUCAUGUCAGCAUACUUGUUUCAGUGUGCCUAACCAAAUAAAGCAAAAUGUAGGAGAUAAAUCUCUUAUGAAAUACAUGCUCCGAGUAGCAGUCGCAACUUUUGUGAGUUACUCCGAGAAAAUUUUGUCUUAUUCGCACCUGAAAUCAAGUAAGAUCACCCGCUGGACUUAAGCAUAUUACUAAGCGGAGGAGAAGAAAUUAACUAAGAUUGCCUUAGUAAGGGCGACUGAACCGGCAAAAGCUCGAAAUUAAAAUCGGGAAUCCAAUGGAUUUUCGAAUUGUAAUCAGGGUUGCCUAAAUACGGGAGGCC